This is a long non-coding RNA of Lycium ferocissimum, 556 nucleotides long. RefSeq lists it as uncharacterized. The record is from RefSeq and is a predicted model, not a curated record. NCBI's taxonomy places the organism in Eukaryota, Viridiplantae, Streptophyta, Magnoliopsida, Solanales, Solanaceae. The transcript has 2 exons.
UCAAACUCCACUAGUCUAAAACGAAAGUUAAGGCUAGUGGUUAAUGCGAUAAGAAAUCGAGAUGGUUAUUAUGGUGAAAGCAAGAUUGUGGAUGAAAACAUGAUAGUUCUACGAAUGCGUAUCAAAGAAAUGAACAUAUCAUCAUCACAAGCUGGUCAAUUACAUAAUUCUAAAAAUUGGAUGGAAUGGGAGAAGAAGUACUAUUCACAUUAUAAUAAGGUUGUUUUUGAAAUUGUAAGGUUGUUACAAAUGUGCUUGAUGGAGACUAGGCCAGCUUUGGCUUUAGGGAUAACAACACUUUUUUCUUUGAGUGUGCCUAUCUCAACUUACUUUUUGAUAGUCCAUGCCAUCGAUAUUGCCAAGAGUUUAAUGUAAUUGCACCAAUUAUACUUAAAGUUUGGUGUUAAUUAGCUACUUUGAAACUUGAAAGAAUGGCGCAUGAUCUUUGAUCCCCAGGAUUUUAACUUGACGGUUUUGAUCUUUAAGGUUUUUUACAUUGAAUUCAUUGUAUUUCCAUAAUUAUGGGUUCACAUUUAAUAUUCAUCCAUUUUUUUUU